Molecule: long non-coding RNA, 620 nt
Filed under: Coffea arabica (coffee)
Lineage: Eukaryota; Viridiplantae; Streptophyta; Magnoliopsida; Gentianales; Rubiaceae
Description: long non-coding RNA (CARA_LNC000881)
Source: RNAcentral
GCAUUCAAAUCUGCGGAGUAGGGAGGUACGAAUUGGAGCGAGAAUCUGCACAUCUCCUCUUUUGCUCGCUCUUUCUUCUUUGCAAAUCUGCAAAUUGGAGGGAGAAUCUGCUAAUCCACAGAGCCGCUCACUCUCUCUUCUCUUUUGCUUUGCCAGAGCCCGCCCUCCCGUUUCCAAGCUUUCAAGAGGAGCAAGACGAAAUCCCUCACACUCUCUCUUUCCCGUUGGUCGGCGUCCGCCAUUUCUGAGCUUCCACCAAAUUUCCGCCAGAUGAAUUUGCCUCCUCCAGUUGCUUUUACUACCUUAACAGUCAUUCCCAACCAUAUGUGAAAAGGACCCAUUUACGUUGCAUAUUUUCUUUUUCCUUCUCAACUCUGAAAAGCUCGUGACUGUGCAUUUAGGUAUGAUCUCGCAAUGCAAAAGCCUGAUUUUUAUGCAUUUAGCAAGUUUUUUUGAGCUCGUGGUUGCAAUAAUACAACAAUUUUUUUUCUGCAGAGAAGCUCGUACUCAGUAACCUCGCAUUUUUUGAACGCGAAGAUCCUGAUUGAAACCAAAAUCAGACCACCUGUAGAAUUUUUUAAAAAUUCAUCACAAAGUUAGAAAUUUGUCAAUAAAUACUC